This 484-nucleotide ribosomal RNA is filed under the name uncultured bacterium. RNAcentral's name for it is "partial 16S ribosomal RNA". It matches the Rfam family "Bacterial small subunit ribosomal RNA", at positions 30 to 507 of the family's 1533-position model. The record is from RNAcentral.
AUUGAACGCUGGCGGAAUGCUUUACACAUGUAAGUCGAACGGCAGCACGGGGGCAGCCCUGGUGGCGAGUGGCGAACGGGUGAGUAAUACAUCGGAACGUGCCCGGUCGUGGGGGAUAACGUAGCGAAAGUUACGCUAAUACCGCAUACGAUCUGAGGAUGAAAGCGGGGGACCUUCGGGCCUCGCGCGAUCGGAGCGGCCGAUGUCAGAUUAGGUAGUUGGUGGGGUAAAGGCCUACCAAGCCGACGAUCUGUAGCUGGUCUGAGAGGACGACCAGCCACACUGGGACUGAGACACGGCCCAGACUCCUACGGGAGGCAGCAGUGGGGAAUUUUGGACAAUGGGCGCAAGCCUGAUCCAGCCAUUCCGCGUGCAGGACGAAGGCCUUCGGGUUGUAAACUGCUUUUGUACGGAACGAAAAGGCUCUGGCUAAUACCUGGGGCCCAUGACGGUACCGUAAGAAUAAGCACCGGCUAACUACGUG